Long non-coding RNA from Hemicordylus capensis (graceful crag lizard), 2025 nucleotides. RefSeq lists it as uncharacterized. The transcript is spliced from 3 exons. The record is from RefSeq and is a predicted model, not a curated record. Lineage: Eukaryota; Metazoa; Chordata; Lepidosauria; Squamata; Cordylidae.
CCUCAGCCGGGGGAAGCGGAUUCCCAGGACAGGCUCACGCCGCCAGAAGUAAAUCCGGCCGCCCAGAAAGAGAAAGAGCUCCUCACUAUAGCUUCCCCUUCACAGACCGACACUCCCUUCUCCGCGGGGUCCCCAGACCCAGGAGCCGCCGCCCCCUCAGCUCAGCGAGCGAGCGCCACCCCAGCCCCUUCUUCCCAUUGUUCCCAGAUCCUUGAAAGAACCAUGUCAACAAAAAGUGUGGAAUUUUUAAGUGUUGAACUCCUGGCCGUCAUGAAGUUCCUGUUCCUGCAGAAGAAAACUCCAAAGGAAAUCCAUAAUUGUAUGAUGCAAACAUUGAGUGACAAGUGCCCGUCAUACUCAACUGCGGUGUGCCAACUUUCACCGUGGAGAUUUUGAGACUGAAGAUGCGGCAAGAUCUGGGAGGCCUUCAACAGUGUCAACUCCUGAAAUUAUUGAUCAUUUUCAUGACCUGAUUUUGGGCAGAUAGGCGAAUCCCGGCUAAAACAAUUGCUGAGACACUAGAGAUAUCAAGGAAAUGUGUUGGGUUUAUAAUUCAUGAGCAGUUGAGUAUGCAGAAGCUGUCAGCCCAGUGGGUGCCGAAAUGUUUGCAUGCCGACAAGAAACGAUAUCAAGUGGACACCUCCAAGUUGAUUUUGCAGCAUUUUGAGCGAUCUAAUGAUAAUUUUUUGGAACGACUCAUCACUGUUGCUGAAACAUGGUUACACCACUAUGAUCCAAACGACAGUCCUUGCAGUGGCAGCACUCGGGUUCUCCACGGCCUAAGAAAUUCAAGACCCAAAGGUCAGCAGGAAAGGUCAUGGCCAUGGUUUUUUGGGAUAAGGAAGGUAGUUUGAUGGCUGACUAUCUUCAGAAGGGCCAAACAGUUAAUGCAGAAUACUACUCUAACUAGCUGUGCUGAUUAAAGGAGGCGUUGAAAGAAAAAUGUCAAGAAAAGCAGUAGAAAUGUGUUCUCUUUUUGCAGGGCAAAGCACCUGCUCACAAGGCUGGCAAGAUGUUUUGAAGGAUUUGGGGUUUGAGUGCAUAGACCAUUCACCCUACUCACCAGAUCUUGCUCCAUCGGACUAUUUCCUGUUUCCAAACCUUAAAAAGAGUAUGAAAGGGAGGAAAUUUUCAAAUGAUUUGGAGGUGAUAGCAGCAGCAGAGCAGUAUUUCAGUGACCAGAAAUCAGAAAAAUUUUUUGGAAGGGUUAAUGAAACUUGAGAAACGAUGUGCCAAGUGUGUUGAACUUCGGGGUGAAUAUGUGGAAUAGCAUCCCACAGAGCUGUAAAAUGUAUCAAACUAACCGCAAUGCACAUCAGAAGGAAGAUCAGAAAAGAGACCAAAAUGACUUGUCUAAAACAGUCUUCGAAUUACAUGAACAAUUAAAAGUAUGUAACAUUUUCCAUUUAAACUUUAUAUAUAUUAUAGACACACCUUGAAAGGAGACUUGAAUCUUACUAAAGAGGGUAAGAAUAAAAAAAUACUGGAUAGCAGUCUGCAGAUCACACCUCUAGUGCAACAAAGAAAAAUAAUUCCUAUCUAUGGGAUGGAUUUUACCUCUGCAGAAUUCUUAAAGGGAGUGGUUUUAAAGAUACAAAGAGAACCAAAAUAUCUUGUACCAAUGCAGCUUAGCAGUUGGCUAUGGAUUGGAAGAGCAAAUGGGCCUCAGAGAUCAGUUGCACACCCAACAGUAUUGUGGAGAAUGGUCCUUGUGUAGGAAUUUUACUGUGUGACUAAGCAUUCUCUCUCUUCUUGCCUAAGGCAUACUUGCCUCUGAAUGUAUGUGUCUAUGUUGUAUCCCUGGACCUGGAGUGGAGUCAGUCUUCAGUUCUGUUGAUUGGUUGUUUUAUCAGUUCAGUUGGUUGUGCUCUCCCCCUCUUACAGAAGUGACUGUUACCUUGUUAAGCAGUGUUAAGAAAUAAUAAAUAAUUAAGAUGUUUCUGCAACUAAAGUUAAGCCUCUUAUUUAAUUCCUUAUAAAUCAAGAAAUCAUUCUGCAACACCUUGCAAGCUCAGAGUUGGGUCA